Molecule: ribosomal RNA, 253 nt
Filed under: uncultured bacterium
Lineage: Bacteria
Description: partial 16S ribosomal RNA
Rfam family: Bacterial small subunit ribosomal RNA
Source: RNAcentral
UACGUAGGGUGCGAGCGUUGUCCGGAAUUAUUGGGCGUAAAGGGCUCGUAGGCGGUUUGUCGCGUCGGGAGUGAAAACUCAGGGCUUAACCCUGAGCCUGCUUCCGAUACGGGCAGACUAGAGGUAUGCAGGGGAGAACGGAAUUCCUGGUGUAGUGGUGGAAUGCGCAGAUAUCAGGAGGAACACCGAUGGCGAAGGCAGAUCUCUGGGCCGUAACUGACGCUGAGGAGCGAAAGCGUGGGGAGCGAACAGG